AGUGUUAUGAUUUUUUUUUUUUUUUUUGAGAAAAAUAAGUGUUAUGAUUGUAGACUUGUGUUCGUAUCUAGGAUUCCAGAUUUAUGUGCCUGUUUAGUGUUCUGAUGUAGUUGGUUAUGGUCCAAAUCCUCACACGAAAGGACUGCAAUUUGAGUUAGGUACCCAAUGAGUUUGUUUCAAAGUAUAACCAUUUUGUAGAAGAAAAAAAUGUAUGUCAAAAGCAUAAUUUACGGAAUGAAAAAUAUUGGAACUGAGCAUUUUGCUCUUUAAUGUUUCUCUUUUGUGGUUUUCAUUUGAAAUUUUCUAUUUAAAGGAAGUAUGAUUAUGAUCAGCAUACAAUUGACUCAAUGAGCAAUCCAAGCCCAAUUUGUAACUAAAGGGUGUUGCUUCUCUAAAUUUGUUGCUGUUGUUGUUUUUACUACCAACAGGUUGCAGAAUACCUUGUUCCCUCUAUCAGAUCGGUCCCUAGCAGUCAGUCCAUGAAGCCAACCUACAUAAAAUUCUUAACAGGCCUUAAGGCGUACUCCCAGAUUUUUUCAAGAAUUGCUUUUGGUGCAAGGAGGAAUAGAUACGUUAUUGAAGAUUGAAUGGCUUAUUCGCUUUCGGGAUUAGGAAAGAACAACGUUCUUUCUGCAAUGAAGAGUGCGUUGUGGUUCAGCACAAGUUCCAUGAACUGUGUGGGUCCAAAUGCAAAAUCAACUCUAUUUUUAAUCCUCCUUUCUUUGUGAAACUCAUCUGCAGGUAUGGGAAAAGCUUUUGUGUCUGCAAAGGCUUUUUCAUUCUUCUCAUGUUAGGGCCGCACUGGUGAAAUCUUGGUGCAAAAUGGAAGCCUUCACUGCCUAUGAA
Molecule: long non-coding RNA, 846 nt
Organism: Asparagus officinalis (garden asparagus)
Lineage: Eukaryota; Viridiplantae; Streptophyta; Magnoliopsida; Asparagales; Asparagaceae
Exons: 4
Source: RefSeq, a predicted model, not a curated record